GAUGAAGAACGUAGCGAAAUGUGAUAAGUAAUGUGAAUUGCAGAAUUCCGUGAAUCAUCGAAUCUUUGAACGCACAUUGCGCCCCCUGGCAUUCCGGGGGGCAUGCCUGUCCGAGCGUCAUUUCUGCCCUCAAGCACGGCUUGUGUGUUGGGUGUGGUCCCCCCGGGGACCUGCCCGAAAGGCAGCGGCGACGUCCGUCUGGUCCUCGAGCGUAUGGGGCUUUGUCACUCGCUCGGGAAGGACCUGCGGGGGUUGGUCACCACCAUAUUUUACCACGGUUGACCUCGGAUCAGGUGGGAGUUACCCGCUGAACUUAAGCAUAUCAAUAAGCGGAGGA
Molecule: unclassified non-coding RNA, 337 nt
Filed under: soil metagenome
Description: partial contains 5.8S ribosomal RNA, internal transcribed spacer 2, and large subunit ribosomal RNA
Rfam family: 5.8S ribosomal RNA (bases 1-120)
Source: RNAcentral